Molecule: ribosomal RNA, 687 nt
Filed under: uncultured bacterium
Lineage: Bacteria
Description: bacterial SSU rRNA
Rfam family: Bacterial small subunit ribosomal RNA
Source: RNAcentral
AUAACAGUUAGAAAUGACUGCUAAUACCGCAUAAGACCACAGUACCGCAUGGUACAGGGGUAAAAACUCCGGUGGUAUGAGAUGGACCCGCGUCUGAUUAGGUAGUUGGUGGGGUAACGGCCUACCAAGCCGACGAUCAGUAGCCGACCUGAGAGGGUGACCGGCCACAUUGGGACUGAGACACGGCCCAAACUCCUACGGGAGGCAGCAGUGGGGAAUAUUGCACAAUGGGGGAAACCCUGAUGCAGCGACGCCGCGUGAGCGAUGAAGUAUUUCGGUAUGUAAAGCUCUAUCAGCAGGGAAGAAAAUGACGGUACCUGACUAAGAAGCACCGGCUAAAUACGUGCCAGCAGCCGCGGUAAUACGUAUGGUGCAAGCGUUAUCCGGAUUUACUGGGUGUAAAGGGAGCGUAGACGGAGUGGCAAGUCUGAUGUGAAAACCCGGGGCUCAACCCCGGGACUGCAUUGGAAACUGUCAAUCUGGAGUACCGGAGAGGUAAGCGGAAUUCCUAGUGUAGCGGUGAAAUGCGUAGAUAUUAGGAGGAACACCAGUGGCGAAGGCGGCUUACUGGACGGUAACUGACGUUGAGGCUCGAAAGCGUGGGGAGCAAACAGGAUUAGAUACCCUGGUAGUCCACGCCGUAAACGAUGACUACUAGGUGUCGGGCAGCAAAGCUGUUCGGUGCCG